Gorilla gorilla gorilla (western lowland gorilla) is the source of this 477-nucleotide long non-coding RNA. RefSeq lists it as uncharacterized. The record is from RefSeq and is a predicted model, not a curated record. The transcript is spliced from 3 exons. Lineage: Eukaryota; Metazoa; Chordata; Mammalia; Primates; Hominidae.
CUGAGGCAGGAGAAUGGCGUGAACCCGGGAGGCGGAGCUUGCAGUGAGCCGAGAUUGCGCCACUGCACUCCCACCUCGGUGACAGAGCGAGACUCCGUCUCAAAAAAUAAAAAUUAAAAAAAAAUACUGCUGUCUCUUUUUAAGAGUAUUAAACUAGGACAAAGGUUACUUGACCUAGGAGAUUACUCAGCACUACCUCUACAUGGAGCUUAGCAGCCACCGAUCAUGAACCGACAGAUGCCAGGAAAUCCUUUCCUUGUUUUGAUGAGUGCAACAAAAAGGCAACUUAUACAAUAUCUUUCACCCAUCCCAAAGGAUCUGAAGCAUUUCAAAUAUGCCAGUGGCGAAAUAAGGGUCAGUGGAUGAAAAAUGGAAUCAAACAACUUUCGAGAAGUCUGUCCCCAUGAGCAUGUACCUGGUGUGCUUUGCUGUACAUCAAUUUUGUCCUGUAAAGAGAAUAUCAAAUAUUGGAAAACC